UGGGGGAUAUUGCACAAUGGGCGAAAGCCUGAUGCAGCGACGCCGCGUGGGGGAUGAAGGCCUUCGGGUUGUAAACUUCUUUUGCUCUGAACAAGGCGCACCAUGGGGUGUGUUGAGUGUAGGGGUUGAUUAGCGCCGGCUAACCACGUGCCAGCAGCCGCGGUAAUACGUAGGGCGCGAGCGUUGUCCGGACUUAUUGGGCGUAAAGGGCUUGUAGGUGGGUGGUUGCGUCUGUCGUGAAAGCUCAUGGCUUAACUGUGGGUUUGCGGUGGGUACGGGCUGGCUUGAGUGCAGUAGGGGAGGCUGGAAUGCCUGGUGUAGCGGUGGAAUGCGCAGAUAUCAGGAGGAAUACCGGUGGCGAAGGCGGGUCUCUGGGCUGUUACUGACACUGAGGAGCGAAAGCAUGGGGAGAGAACAGG
This 419-nucleotide ribosomal RNA is filed under the name bacterium. RNAcentral's name for it is "partial 16S ribosomal RNA". It matches the Rfam family "Bacterial small subunit ribosomal RNA", at positions 355 to 776 of the family's 1533-position model. The record is from RNAcentral.